GCCGCCGGGUAGCGGAUCCGACAGCCGAGCGGGCUCAUCGCGGGCCCGCUCCUCGCCCCCUUCCCCGGGCACCGCGUGCCACCCGUCUCACCCAUGCCCCAUCCCCGACCCCCUCCGCUUCGGCCAAGUGGAAUAAACGCCCGGGUUUCCGACAAAUAUUCACCCUUCCGACACCGAACGGGAGGCCGCCCCCCUCCCGGCCGGCACCCCUGUCGGAGGCGGGCCGGGGUCCGUCCCCGCGGCCGGCAGCGCUCCCGGCGGCACCGGCCCCCAACUCUCCAUGCUUAUAUAACAGCUCUCAAGAGGAAGCUGCUAACAAGCCCAUCUGAUUGUUUGUGCCAGCUGUUUUAGUGGAGGCAUGCUGGAUGUAACUGAACUCCACCUUCUUUGUUGAGAAAAUCAUGUGGAAAAUGACACAUUCUGAAGAAUAACGGGAAUUCAAGAUCUGGCUCCAAAUUUCCUUGUGAACCAGUCUGCUCCUCUGCAUCUGCAGAAAGGGACAGUGUUUCUCCAUGAUGUGCUUGUUAAAAGACGUGAAAUAUCUGGAAAAAAAUUAGACUUUUUGUGAAAAAAAAGCUACUGAUCAAUAAGCUAUCCAGAAAGCAUCCGGCCUGGAUCUCAGCUGCAAAGGAGAAAAGUUCUUGUGGGUCUUGCCUGGAGAGCUGGCCCUGCUGGACUCACCUUGCCAUGCAGUGGAUUAAAGCUGAGACCCAAGACACCAGCGUGAGGUGAGGAGCCUGGAGAGAAGACAAGGCAAUGAGACCAUGCAAACCAUUCUGAAGCACAGAGCAAAGAGUGAUUAUCUUUUUCUCUGACCCUCUAUCAUAACCAGUGCACAAGAGAAAAAGUGAAAAAAAUUGAAAUUUGUCAAGAAGUGUGCACGCUGUUCACACUGAUCACAAUGUUUCCCCUGGUAAUAUUGCAAGUUUUGCUGAUUCUGCUCUUAGAAAUACAAGCUCUAAGAGAUAACACAACACCUUUAAGUUAUUUUAAUCCCACUUAGCUAGGAUAUGUAUCUUAACUCAUUUU
Long non-coding RNA from Catharus ustulatus (Swainson's thrush), 1029 nucleotides. RefSeq lists it as uncharacterized. The record is from RefSeq and is a predicted model, not a curated record. The transcript is spliced from 7 exons. NCBI's taxonomy places the organism in Eukaryota, Metazoa, Chordata, Aves, Passeriformes, Turdidae.